GUUAGGUAAUAUAAUGAAUAACACUCGAGCAAUAUACAAAAUAACCACUCGGGAAGUAAAUCAGAUAACACUCGGCAACCAUACAAGCUCGAGUAAUAUGAGAUAACUAUUUGUAAAUCUACGGAAUGACCACUUGUGUUGUAUCUAUCUUUUUAAAACUCUUCCAAUAAACAAAACGACCACUCGUAUACUAUAGAAAAAGAAGAUGUGGUAUGAUUGCCAAUGAGACAACUCAGUAAGUAACAACUAUAGGUCACCGUACCGCCUUCAACAAUAAUCAAAGCCCAUACCGCAUAGUCAGCUAUAAAAGGCUUCGAAAUGACGACAAUUUAAAACAAUUCAAAC
This 345-nucleotide long non-coding RNA is filed under the name Mytilus galloprovincialis (Mediterranean mussel). The record is from RNAcentral. Lineage: Eukaryota; Metazoa; Mollusca; Bivalvia; Mytilida; Mytilidae.